Molecule: ribosomal RNA, 274 nt
Filed under: uncultured bacterium
Lineage: Bacteria
Description: partial 16S ribosomal RNA
Rfam family: Bacterial small subunit ribosomal RNA
Source: RNAcentral
AUACAGAGGGUGCGAGCGUUAAUCGGAUUUACUGGGCGUAAAGCGUGCGUAGGCGGCUUUUUAAGUCGGAUGUGAAAUCCCUGAGCUUAACUUAGGAAUUGCAUUCGAUACUGGGAAGCUAGAGUAUGGGAGAGGAUGGUAGAAUUCCAGGUGUAGCGGUGAAAUGCGUAGAGAUCUGGAGGAAUACCGAUGGCGAAGGCAGCCAUCUGGCCUAAUACUGACGCUGAGGUACGAAAGCAUGGGGAGCAAACAGGAUUAGAUACCCUAGUAGUCC